UCGGAUAUGGUGUAACGGCUAACAUUUCCGCCUUUCACGCGGAAGCUCGGGGUUCGAUUCCCCGUAUCCGAG
RNAcentral lists this transfer RNA (72 nucleotides) under Volvariella volvacea V23. RNAcentral's name for it is "tRNA-Glu (TTC) (tRNA-Glu-TTC-1-1)". It matches the Rfam family "tRNA". From Rfam's summary of the family: Transfer RNA (tRNA) molecules are approximately 80 nucleotides in length. Their secondary structure includes four short double-helical elements and three loops (D, anti-codon, and T loops). Lineage: Eukaryota; Fungi; Basidiomycota; Agaricomycetes; Agaricales; Pluteaceae. The record is from RNAcentral.